CCUGGCUCAGGACGAGCGCUGGCGGCGUGCCUAAUACAUGCAAGUCGAGCGAAUCAAUGGGAGCUUGCUCCCGUUGGUUAGCGGCGGACGGGUGAGUAACACGUGGGCAACCUGCCUGUAAGACUGGGAUAACACCGGGAAACCGGUGCUAAUACCGGAUAAUCCUUUUCUUCUCAUGAGGAAAAGCUGAAAGACGGUUUCGGCUGUCACUUACAGAUGGGCCCGCGGCGCAUUAGCUAGUUGGUGAGGUAAUGGCUCACCAAGGCGACGAUGCGUAGCCGACCUGAGAGGGUGAUCGGCCACACUGGGACUGAGACACGGCCCAGACUCCUACGGGAGGCAGCAGUAGGGAAUCUUCCGCAAUGGACGAAAGUCUGACGGAGCGACGCCGCGUGAGCGAUGAAGGCCUUCGGGUCGUAAAGCUCUGUUGUUAGGGAAGAACAAGUACCGGAGUAACUGCCGGUACCUUGACGGUACCUAACCAGAAAGCCACGGCUAACUACGUGCCAGCAGCCGCGGUAAUACGUAGGUGGCAAGCGUUGUCCGGAAUUAUUGGGCGUAAAGCGCGCGCAGGCGGUCCUUUAAGUCUGAUGUGAAAGCCCACGGCUCAACCGUGGAGGGUCAUUGGAAACUGGGGGACUUGAGUGCAGAAGAGGAAAGCGGAAUUCCACGUGUAGCAGUGAAAUGCGUGGAGAUGUGGAGGAACACCAGUGGCGAAGGCGGCUUUCUGGUCUGUAACUGACGCUGAGGCGCGAAAGCGUGGGGAGCAA
RNAcentral lists this ribosomal RNA (770 nucleotides) under uncultured Bacillus sp. RNAcentral's name for it is "bacterial SSU rRNA". It matches the Rfam family "Bacterial small subunit ribosomal RNA", at positions 18 to 771 of the family's 1533-position model. The record is from RNAcentral. Lineage: Bacteria; Bacillati; Bacillota; Bacilli; Caryophanales; Bacillaceae.